UACGUAGGGGGCAAGCGUUGUCCGGAUUUAUUGGGCGUAAAGAGCGUGUAGGCGGCCAGGUAGGUCAGCUGUGAAAACUCGAGGCUCAACCUCGAGACGUCGGUUGAAACCAUCUGGCUAGAGUCCGGAAGAGGAGAGUGGAAUUCCUGGUGUAGCGGUGAAUGCGCAGAUAUCAGGAAGAACACCCGUGGCGAAGGCGGCUCUCUGGGACGGUACUGACGCUGAGACGCGAAAGCGUGGGGAGCGAACAGG
Molecule: ribosomal RNA, 252 nt
Filed under: uncultured bacterium
Lineage: Bacteria
Description: partial 16S ribosomal RNA
Rfam family: Bacterial small subunit ribosomal RNA
Source: RNAcentral